AUGGAUUUGAGAGACUCAUUAAUAUCAUGCUUAGGUGGAAUAGAUCUAAGUGUAUGUCGGAUUUCGGGUUCCGGCAGACCCUUGAGGUUCGAACACUGGGAUGCGCGCGGAGAUCUCUCCCCUACCGAUCUAUGUCCAAUCUCCUCGCAUGAUAUAAACUGGAAACAACGAACAACACAAGGGACACAAGGUUUAUACUGGUUCGGGCCACCGUUAUGGUGUAAUACCCUACUCCAGUGUGUGGUGUGGUGGAUUGCCUCAGGGGCUGAUAAUGAACAGUACAAGGGAAGAACAGCCUCGCGAGAGGUGUUCUUGAGCUGGUGCGAUGAACUGCUUGGGCGAGUUCAGUCGCCUCUCUCUCUCUCUCUCUCUCUGCUAGGGUUCUACCAGAUCUCUAGCUCUCUGGGUGUGUUGAUCUCUCCGGGGGGGUCUCUCUACUUUGUGGUGGCUAGCUCUAUUUAUAGAGGCCCUGGGCCUCUCCCCAAAUAA
RNAcentral lists this ribosomal RNA (489 nucleotides) under Triticum aestivum (bread wheat). RNAcentral's name for it is "partial small subunit ribosomal RNA". The record is from RNAcentral. Lineage: Eukaryota; Viridiplantae; Streptophyta; Magnoliopsida; Poales; Poaceae.